This 468-nucleotide ribosomal RNA is filed under the name uncultured bacterium. RNAcentral describes it as "partial 16S ribosomal RNA". It matches the Rfam family "Bacterial small subunit ribosomal RNA", at positions 28 to 507 of the family's 1533-position model. The record is from RNAcentral.
GACGAACGCUGGCGGCGUGCUUAACACAUGCAAGUCGAACGGAAAGGCCCUGCUUUUGUGGGGUGCUCGAGUGGCGAACGGGUGAGUAACACGUGAGUAACCUGCCCUUGACUUUGGGAUAACUUCAGGAAACUGGGGCUAAUACCGGAUAGGAGCUCCUGCUGCAUGGUGGGGGUUGGAAAGUUUCGGCGGUUGGGGAUGGACUCGCGGCUUAUCAGCUUGUUGGUGGGGUAGUGGCUUACCAAGGCUUUGACGGGUAGCCGGCCUGGGAGGGUGACCGGGCACAAUGGGACUGAGAGACGGCGCAGACGCCUACGGGAGGCAGCAGUGGGGAAUAUGGCAGAAUGGGCGGAAGCCUGAUGCAGCAACGCCGCGUGCGGGAUGACGGCCUUCGAGUUGUAAACCGCUUUCGCCUGUGACGAAGCGUGAGUGACGGUAAUGGGUAAAGAAGCACCGGCUAACUACGUG